This 4604-nucleotide small RNA is filed under the name Pan troglodytes (chimpanzee). RNAcentral describes it as "retained intron". Lineage: Eukaryota; Metazoa; Chordata; Mammalia; Primates; Hominidae. The record is from RNAcentral.
GGCCCAGUGUUUUUGGAUGCUUUCUCCAUGCAUAUAAAUUGGGCUGCUUUAUGAGAAUUCAUAGUAUUUACCUCAGGUAAUGUAGGAACAGGUUUCCCGAGCAUGAUGAGUAACUCACUUGGCCUUAUCUUCUCAUACAUACACACAAAGUUAUGUUGCUUUUGCACAUAAGGUUAUAUUGUAGAAUUGCUCUUUUCCCUUUUUUAUGCUUGAGGUCUCCUGGUCAUCACUCAACUCAAAUAUGGAGCCCUUCCCUGCUUCCCUCAGUCAGAACAAAUCUUACUUCUCUGCAUUCCUGGGAUUCUUAUUGUAUGCUCCCUCCUUUAAAAAAAUUGAGGGAGCCCUUCCUUGCUUCUCUCAGUCAGAACAAAUCUCUUACUUCUCUGCAUUCCUGGGGUUAUUGUAUGCCCCCUCCUUUAAAAAAAUUGAGGUAUAAAUUACAUACCAUAAAAUUACCUCAAGUGUACAAUUCAGUGCUUUUUCAUAUAUUGGCAAGGUUUUGCAAAUAUUAACAAUUCCAGAACAUCUUGAUCACCCCAAAAGGAAACCAACACCCAUUAGCAGUCACUCCCUAUUACUCCUUUCCCCCAGCCCCUGGCAACCACUGAUCUACUUUAUGUCUGUACGAAUUUGCCUAUUCUGGACAUAUCAUCUAAAUGCAGUCAUAAAAUACGUGGCUUUUUGUGCCUGGCUUCUUUCACUUUAUAAUGUUCCCACAUUCAUCCAUGUUGUAGCAUGUAUCAGAAUUUCAUUUUGUUUUAUAGCCAAAUGAUAGUCUGUUGUAUGUAUAUACUACAUUUUAUCCAUUCAUUAGUUCAUAGAUUUUUGUGUUGAUUGCACUUUUUGGCUACUAUCAAUAAUGCUAUAAUGAAGAUUUGUGUACAGCUUUUUCUGUGGACAUAUGGAGUGGAAUGGCUGCAUCUUAAUGGCAACCCUGUGAUAAACUUUUUGAGGAACUGCCAGUUUUCCAAAGCAGGCGCCCGCACCAUUUGACAUUCCCAUCAGCAGUGUGUGAGGGUUCCAGUGUUCCCACAUCCAGUACUUAUUAUUUUCUGUCUUUUUGAUUAUAGGUAUCUUUGUGGGUGUGAAAUGAUAUCUCAUUGUAAUUUUGAUUUGUUUCUAAUGACUAGUUUCAUUGAGCAUCUUUUCAUGUACUUACUGGCCAUGUGCCCCAAUUGCUAAAACUUAGCACACUGUUUUGUGAUAAUUUCCUAGUUUGCCUCCUUUGCUAACUAGAAUUUCUGGGAGCAGAACUUAUGCUUUUUUUUUUUAAUCUUCAUGACCCUGACAGCAGGACAGCACUUGGUACUAAUGUGCUCUAAAAUAAUUCAAUUGGAAAAGGAAGUAGUAUCCUUUUCUAGGUAGUACCUGACUAUAUUUAGAAAUCAAAAAUAAAUUGAGAAAGUGAAAGGUUUUGUAUCUCACCUCACCCCCAAAUCCAUACACACAUUCACUCACAUAUAAAAUUUUUCCUGAGACAGUGAUUUUAAUAUUUUGUUUUAUAUCCUUGUAGACCUUUUAUUUAUUUAUUUAUUUAUUUAUUUAUUUAUUUAUUUAUUUGAGACAGAGUCUCACUCUGUCGCCCAGGCUGGAGUGCAGUGACAUGACCUUGGCUCAUUGCAAGCUCCGCCUCCCGGGUUCAUGCCGUUCUCCUGCCUCAGCCUCCUGAGCAGCUGGGACUACAGGCGCCCGCCACCAUGCCCGGCUAAUUUUUUGUAUUUUUAGUAGAGACAGGGUUUCACUGUGUUAGCCAGGAUCGUCUCGAUCUCCUGACCUCACGAUCCGCCCACCUCAGCCUCUCAAAGUGCGGGAUUAUAGACGUGAGCCACCGCGCCCGGCCUUUUACUCGUUUAUUAUAUGCACUUUAAAAAAGAAAAAACAUUUAAAAACCAAAGUUAUAUGUACACAUGGAACAGUUGUAAACAGUAUCAUAUAAAGAAGAAAAAGGCUUUCUUUAAUAUCUGAUCACCAGUGUCCUUUCUCUAGAGGCAACUGCUGUUAAUCAGGUUUUCCAGUGUGUCCUUCAGGGGCACUGUUAUCCAGAGAUAAAAGCAUGUAACACUUUUGUGUAUUGUGGAUGUAUUUUAUAUGCUGUUUUGUAAGUACCUUUUUUUCUCUUCACAAGUAACGUGUAUAUCUUUUCAUGUCACUAUACAUAUAGUUGGUCAUUUAGUCAGUAAGUAAGUGUUUUUGAGUGGCUAUCGUGUACUAACAUUGAGAAUAGCAGCAAAUUGAACAGGUAGUGUUCCUAGGAGCUUCAGGUUAUCCUUUCUUAAGGACUUCCUAGUAUUUCAAUGUAUUGGCUAUGCCAUAAUUUAUCCUCUACUGAUAGAAAACUAGGUCGUUUCCAGUUUUGCCCUAUUAUAAGCAACCCUGUUUUGAACACUCCAAUAAUUUAUCUUUCCCACUUGUUAUUUCCUUGGGGAAAAAGUCUAAAAAAUUGAACUUUCCAAAGGUUAAAUAUAUUGUGUCUUGACCACUGUUGCCCUCCAGAGAUAUGUCAGUUUACAUUUACACAAUUUAUACUUCUCUCAAUCUAUAUAGCAUUUGAGAGAACCUGUCCCACCCUCUCCAUACUCUUUGCCAGUCUGAGAGGACAGAAAUAAUUUUAUUGAUGUUUUAUGCAUUUCUCUUAUUAGUGAGAAUACGCACCAUCUCAUGGUUAGUGGCCAUUGAUCUCUAUGUUGCUAAAUCAUGUGUUCCCUUGCUUAUCUUUAUCUGCCUUGAUGUUGACCAUCCUUUGCUUCUCACCACAGCUUUCUUUUGGUUCUGCAGUAACGUGCUCUUGUUUUCUCUGGACCUACCUCCUCAUCCACUGUUAGACCUCUCAGUGUCUGACUGCCUUAGACUGGGUUAUUGCCCUUGUUUCUUAUCUUCAUUUUGUGCCAUCAGAUACAUUUGGAUGGCAGUGAUUGUCAAAUUCAUGUCGCCAGCCCCAAACUGGAGCACCAGACUCAUGCCUUAAUGCCUCCUUAGUGUCCUCACUUGGCUGUUUAAUAGGCAUAUCCACUUGAACACUGCCAAAGUAUGCUUGAAUCCCACCCUCACCUCCAACACUUAAAAACAAAUAUUCUCCUUCUCCAGGGAUUUCCAUCUUGUUGAAACCACAAACAUAAGUAUACUCUAGAGUCUCUUUUCUUGCUCACCUUCUAUAUACCUGUUGCUGUCUUCCUGCUUGCAUUCUGAGUCUGGCAUCCUUUCUGUUCCUGGGCUUAACCAUGCUUUUCCUGCCUUCAGACUUUUGUAUCAUUUACAUUGCUCUGUGCUUAGCCAGACCCUCAGAGAGGUAUUCCCUGUCCACCCCAAUCCAGUGGAGGGCUUCCUAGUCACUCUAUCAUGUUACUUUUAUUUUCUUCACAGGAUUUAUCUUGUAUAUUUGUUCAUCUGUCUCUGCCCUUUGAAAAUUUAGUUUUUGUGGCAGCAAGGGUCUUGUCUUUUGGUUCACUGCCAUAUAACUAUCUAGAGUAGUGAUAUACAGGAGUUAUUCAGUAAAAUAAUUUAUAUUUGUGUGGAUUGCUCAUUAAUACUCUAUGUACAUUUUACUGUCUUCUAGGGAUCUCUUCUGGAUUAAGGCCAUUAACUCAUCGUUAUAAAUUUUCUAGUUUAUCAAUCAUUUGUCUUCAAACCUUGUUCAUAGUGUUUUCUUACGUAGACUAUUUACGUGAACAAAUAAACAGGAAAUAGGAGUCAUCAGUCUUUGCUUUCUUCUGAGUUUUGUUGCUUUUUGAAAAUGUCUGAUUUAUACCUUUUUUCUGGUCUGUAUAAAUCGUUUUUCCCUGUACCUGCUGUUUCUCUGUUAGAAUUGUUUAAAAAAUGAUUUUUACUUUAUUUUACUUAAGGCAUAAGAAGUUCUCUGUGGUUAAAAUAUUAGUACGUGAACUUUGUCAUCUAUGAACAAGUUCCUUUAGAAGCUGAGCUCUGAUAGUGAUGUCAAAUAGCCACCUGUUACUUGAAGACGAUGUUUGCAUACCUGGCCCCUCCUUUAUCACUGCUGUUGCUGCCAUUGUUGAUGACAUGAUGUGGAAGGGCAGUGAGAAAUUUGAUACUUGUUCAUCUAUCUGUUGGACUCAACUAGUGUUGCUUUAGUUUUUAAUCUUUUUAUCUGAAACGGAGAGUCUAUUAUAAUUUGUCAUUUUAUUCAUUGCAGCGGUUGUGGAACAGGAAAUGAAAAAGGACUGGCUUUUUGCCCCUCAUUAUCGAUACUAUGUAAGAGAAAUGAGAAUUCAUGCAUACAGUCAGCUGCUGGAAUCAUAUAGGUCAUUAACCCUUGGCUAUAUGGCAGAAGCGUUUGGUGUUGGUGUGGAAUUCAUUGAUCAGGAACUGUCCAGGUUUAUUGCUGCCGGGAGACUACACUGCAAAAUAGAUAAAGUGAAUGAAAUAGUAGAAACCAACAGACCUGAUAGCAAGAACUGGCAGUACCAAGAAACUAUCAAGAAAGGAGAUCUGCUACUAAACAGAGUUCAAAAACUUUCCAGAGUAAUUAAUAUGUAAAGCCAUGUAACUAACAAAGGAUUUGCUUUAGAGAUAAUUAUUUGGAUUUUUAUAGCUUACUUCACAAUGUGCCCAGGUCAACUGUAUAAAAUAAAUACUGCAUUGUUGUUUCU